RNAcentral lists this ribosomal RNA (253 nucleotides) under uncultured bacterium. Its description in RNAcentral is "partial 16S ribosomal RNA". It matches the Rfam family "Bacterial small subunit ribosomal RNA", at positions 524 to 776 of the family's 1533-position model. The record is from RNAcentral.
GACGGAGGGUGCAAGCGUUAUUCGGAAUUAUUGGGCGUAAAGAGCGUGUAGGCGGCCGGUUAAGUCAGGUGUGAAAGCCCGGGGCUCAACCUCGGAAGUGCACUUGAAACUGGUCGGCUUGAGUUCGGGAGAGGGAAGCGGAAUUCCGGGUGUAGAGGUGAAAUUCGUAGAUAACCGGAGGAACAUCGGUGGCGAAGUCGGCUUCCUGGACCGAAACUGACGCUGAGACGCGAAAGCGUGGGGAGCAAACAGG